RNAcentral lists this ribosomal RNA (253 nucleotides) under uncultured bacterium. RNAcentral describes it as "partial 16S ribosomal RNA". It matches the Rfam family "Bacterial small subunit ribosomal RNA", at positions 524 to 776 of the family's 1533-position model. The record is from RNAcentral.
UACAGAGGAGCCAAGCGUUGUCCGGAUUGACUGGGCGUAAAGCGCACGCAGGCGGAUGCGCGCGUGGGGUGUGAAAUCUGGCCGCUUAACGGCCAGGCGCCAUCCCAUACGGCGCGUCUGGAGUGAUGCAGAGGUCGAUGGAAUUGCCGGUGUAGUGGUGAAAUGCGUAGAGAUCGGCAGGAACACCCAGGGGGAAACCAGUCGACCGGGCAUCUACUGACGCUGAGGUGCGAGAGCGUGGGGAGCGAACCGG